Molecule: transfer RNA, 73 nt
Filed under: Caudoviricetes sp.
Lineage: Duplodnaviria; Heunggongvirae; Uroviricota; Caudoviricetes
Description: tRNA-Met
Rfam family: tRNA
About the family: Transfer RNA (tRNA) molecules are approximately 80 nucleotides in length. Their secondary structure includes four short double-helical elements and three loops (D, anti-codon, and T loops).
Source: RNAcentral
CCUGCUGUGGCGCAAUGGUGAGCGCAGCCGCCUCAUAAGCGGAGGGGUGCUGGUUCGAAUCCAGCCGGCAGGA